CCUACGGGAGGCUGCAGUGGGGAAUAUUGCACAAUGGGGGGAACCCUGAUGCAGCAACGCCGCGUGGGUGAAGAAGUACUUCGGUAUGUAAAGCCCUGUCAGCAGGGAAGAAAAUGACGGUACCUGACAAAUAAGCCCCGGCUAACUACGUGACAGGAGCCACGGGAAUACGUAGGGGGCAAGCGUUCUCCGGAUUUACUGGGUGUAAAGGGAGCGUAGACGGCAAGGCAAGUCUGGAGGGAAAGCCCGGGGCUCAACCACGGGACUGCUUUGGAAACUGGGUUGCUGGAGUGCAGGAGGGGUAAGCGGAAUUCCUAGUGUAGCGGUGAAAUGCGUAGAUAUUAGGAGGAACACCGGUGGCGAAGGCGGCUUACUGGACUGUAACUGACGUUGAGGUGCGAAGGCGUGGGGAGCAAACAGGAUUAGAUACCCCAGUAGUC
This 440-nucleotide ribosomal RNA is filed under the name uncultured bacterium. RNAcentral's name for it is "partial 16S ribosomal RNA". It matches the Rfam family "Bacterial small subunit ribosomal RNA", at positions 338 to 795 of the family's 1533-position model. The record is from RNAcentral.